RNAcentral lists this transfer-messenger RNA (367 nucleotides) under uncultured Bullifex sp. It matches the Rfam family "transfer-messenger RNA". From Rfam's summary of the family: Bacterial tmRNA, also known as 10Sa RNA or SsrA, is named for its dual tRNA and mRNA-like properties. Its role is to liberate the mRNA from a stalled ribosome. To accomplish this part of the tmRNA is used as a reading frame that ends in a translation stop signal. Lineage: Bacteria; Pseudomonadati; Spirochaetota; Spirochaetia; Spirochaetales; Spirochaetaceae. The record is from RNAcentral.
GGGGAUGUCUCUGGUUUCGACUGGUGGCAGACCACUUCUAAGACUGCGGUCCAAGCGCCAACUUGUUAAACUAGCACAAAAAAAUAAAUGCAAAGAAAGAAGACGAAGUAUUCGUUUCUGACGAAGCAGAAUUACUCGCAGCGUGAGCUUGCGAUCCGCUUUUAGAGUGCUGUUCCUAACUUGAAAAAGUGGUUGCCAACAGGGACUUGUUCUACUUAGGCUAGCAUAGGUAGAAGACUUUUAGUUAGCUGGAGUUUAAAUGGUUGGUUACAAUACCUAUUUAGGCUCAAGAUUUUAAAUUGUGACUACGGCUGUAGACGUUUUAGGAUGGCACACUAGGACGGGAGUUCGAAUCUCCCCAUCUCCA